AGUGAACGCUGGCGGUAGGCCUAACACAUGCAAGUCGAACGGCAGCACAGUAAGAGCUUGCUCUUACGGGUGGCGAGUGGCGGACGGGUGAGGAAUACAUCGGAAUCUACUUUUUCGUGGGGGAUAACGUAGGGAAACUUACGCUAAUACCGCAUACGACCUACGGGUGAAAGCAUGGGAUCUUCUGACCUUGCGCGAUUGAAUGAGCCGAUGUCGGAUUAGCUAGUUGGCGGGGUAAAGGCCCACCAAGGCGACGAUCCGUAGCUGGUAUGAGAGGAUGAUCAGCCGCACUGGAACUGAGACACGGUCCAGAGUCCUACGGGAGGCGGCAGGGGGGAAUAUUGGGCAAGGGGCGCAAGCCUGAUCCAGACAUACCGCGGGGGUGAAGAAGGCCUUCGGGUGGUAAAGCCCUUUUGUUGGGAAAGAAAAGCAGCAGGUUAAUACCCCGCUGUUCUGACGGUACCCAAAGAAUAAGCACCGGCUAACUUCGUG
This 492-nucleotide ribosomal RNA is filed under the name uncultured bacterium. RNAcentral describes it as "partial 16S ribosomal RNA". It matches the Rfam family "Bacterial small subunit ribosomal RNA", at positions 29 to 507 of the family's 1533-position model. The record is from RNAcentral.